GGGAGGAAUUUGGUUUAUGACGUGUUACUUGCUUAAGAAAUUGUAUUUGGUUAUGAGUGAAAGCAUUUAUCUUUUAGGUGUGCCUUAAAGAUUGAUCUUAGGAAGGUUUUCGAUUCUCUCGAUUGGAACUUCAUUUUGCAGGUAAACAUGGUGUCUUCAAAUUUCAUCCUAAAUGCAAACGAAUUCAGUUAACUCAAUUGUGUUUUGUUGAUGACCUUUUGAUCUUUACCAAAGGGACAGUGGAAUCAAUUGUUGCUAUAAAAGAAAUUCUUGAUUAUUUCUACUAUGUUUUUGGUUUGCAAGUUAAUAGAUCCAAGAGUGAGAUGUUCAAUCAGGGAUGAGUCAACUUGAUCUUCAACGAAUUAUGGAGCUAAUUAGUUACAAGCUCAGAUCCUUACGGGUUACAUAUUUCGGGGUUCCCUUACUGGCUAGAAAUUUGAAAGAAAAUGACUGCAAAAUUCUCAUUGAUAAGAUUACUAUUAGAAUGCAAAGUUGGACUUCAAAAUAUCUUUCUUUUGCAGGGAGGUUGCUGUUGGAUCUAGUGCCUUAAAUGUAAUAUUUUCGUUAAUAUAUACUUGUAAUUUUUUCGAAUAGAUUGGUUAAUAAAACAAAUUCAUUGAUUACAUUAA
Gossypium arboreum is the source of this 629-nucleotide long non-coding RNA. RefSeq lists it as uncharacterized. NCBI's taxonomy places the organism in Eukaryota, Viridiplantae, Streptophyta, Magnoliopsida, Malvales, Malvaceae. The record is from RefSeq and is a predicted model, not a curated record. The transcript is spliced from 2 exons.